GCCUCCUUAGCUCAGCUGGUAGAGCAACUGUCUUGUAAACAGUAGGUCCUCGGUUCGAACCCGGGAGGAGGCUCCA
Molecule: transfer RNA, 76 nt
Filed under: Nesterenkonia natronophila
Lineage: Bacteria; Bacillati; Actinomycetota; Actinomycetes; Micrococcales; Micrococcaceae
Description: Nesterenkonia sp. M8 tRNA-Thr
Rfam family: tRNA
About the family: Transfer RNA (tRNA) molecules are approximately 80 nucleotides in length. Their secondary structure includes four short double-helical elements and three loops (D, anti-codon, and T loops).
Source: RNAcentral